RNAcentral lists this ribosomal RNA (671 nucleotides) under alpha proteobacterium IMCC14574. Its description in RNAcentral is "bacterial SSU rRNA". It matches the Rfam family "Bacterial small subunit ribosomal RNA", at positions 28 to 743 of the family's 1533-position model. Lineage: Bacteria; Pseudomonadati; Pseudomonadota; Alphaproteobacteria. The record is from RNAcentral.
AACGAACGCUGGCGGCACGCCUAACACAUGCAAGUCGAGCGCAGUCCUUCGGGACCGAGCGGCGGACGGGUUAGUAACGCGUGGGAACAUACCCUUCUCUACGGAAUAGCCUCGGGAAACUGAGAGUAAUACCGUAUAAGCCCUUCGGGGGAAAGAUUUAUCGGUGAAGGAUUGGCCCGCGUAAGAUUAGAUAGUUGGUGGGGUAAUGGCCUACCAAGUCUACGAUCUUUAGCUGGUUUGAGAGGAUGAUCAGCAACACUGGGACUGAGACACGGCCCAGACUCCUACGGGAGGCAGCAGUGGGGAAUCUUAGACAAUGGGGGAAACCCUGAUCUAGCGAUGCCGCGUGUGUGACGAAGGCCUUAGGGUCGUAAAGCACUUUCGCCAAGGAUGAUAAUGACAGUACUUGGUAAAGAAACCCCGGCUAACUCCGUGCCAGCAGCCGCGGUAAUACGGAGGGGGUUAGCGUUGUUCGGAAUUACUGGGCGUAAAGCGCACGUAGGCGGACUUUUAAGUUAGAGGUGAAAUCCCAGGGCUCAACCCUGGAACUGCCUUUAAUACUGGAAGUCUUGAGUUCGAGAGAGGUAAGUGGAAUUCCAAGUGUAGAGGUGAAAUUCGUAGAUAUUUGGAGGAACACCAGUGGCGAAGGCGGCUUACUGGCUCGAUACUGA